UCGGGAAUUUUGGGCAAUGGGCGAAAGCCUGACCCAGCAACGCCGCGUGAGGGAUGAAGUAUUUCGGUAUGUAAACCUCGAAAGAAUGGGAAGAAUAAAUGACGGUACCAUUUAUAAGCUCCGGCUAACUACGUGCCAGCAGCCGCGGUAAUACGUAGGGAGCAAGCGUUGUUCGGAUUUACUGGGCGUAAAGGGCGCGUAGGCGGCGCGGUAAGUCACUUGUGAAAUCUCUGAGCUUAACUCAGAACGGCCAAGUAAUACUGCUGUGCUAGAGUGCGGAAGAGGCAACCGGAAUUCUUGGUGUAGCGGUGAAAUGCGUAGAUAUCAAGAGGAACACCUGAGGCGAAGGCGGGUUGCUGGGCCGACACUGACGCUGAUGCGCGAAAGCCAGGGGAGCAAACG
This 402-nucleotide ribosomal RNA is filed under the name uncultured bacterium. Its description in RNAcentral is "bacterial SSU rRNA". It matches the Rfam family "Bacterial small subunit ribosomal RNA", at positions 355 to 774 of the family's 1533-position model. The record is from RNAcentral.